CUCAGAAUGGCUUUAGGCGUUUGAGGAGAGCGAGGUGACUGAGGACGACCUAACGAGGACAACGAAGGAACAAAUGUAUUAUCAACAGAUACUACGUGUUGCGCAUGUCUUCGACAGCAUAUCAGCUGAUCAGCAAAGGGAGUAGAUGCCCCGGUCUAAUCUGAGAAGCAGAGAAGAUGCGAUCAGCUGUUUACAGCCUCUUGCGCUUGGCUCACGACAAGAGCGCGAAGGCUAAGGGAAGACAUUAGGAAA
Varroa destructor (honeybee mite) is the source of this 252-nucleotide RNA transcript. RefSeq lists it as uncharacterized. The record is from RefSeq and is a predicted model, not a curated record. NCBI's taxonomy places the organism in Eukaryota, Metazoa, Arthropoda, Arachnida, Mesostigmata, Varroidae.